RNAcentral lists this microRNA precursor (104 nucleotides) under Manduca sexta (tobacco hornworm). RNAcentral describes it as "microRNA mse-mir-745 precursor". Its record names the gene mse-mir-745. The stretch from base 3 to 79 matches the Rfam family "mir-745 microRNA precursor family". The record is from miRBase by way of RNAcentral. Lineage: Eukaryota; Metazoa; Arthropoda; Insecta; Lepidoptera; Sphingidae.
UCUUGUCGGUUGCGGCUCAUCGUAUGGCAGUUUGCUGUGUAGUAAUGCCAGCUGCCUAGCGAAGGGCAACAAAUGACUGAGUUGAUCUACUAUACAAGAUAUAA